This 486-nucleotide unclassified non-coding RNA is filed under the name Portunus trituberculatus (swimming crab). Its description in RNAcentral is "uncharacterized LOC123508314, transcript variant X2". The record is from RNAcentral. Lineage: Eukaryota; Metazoa; Arthropoda; Malacostraca; Decapoda; Portunidae.
CAAGUAAGUGCGUUCCUACUAAGGUCACUCACGCUCCCCUGAAACUUAAGCCCCGCCUCUUGGGUUAUAUGAUUGGCAGGUGCCACAGGGGGCACUUCAUGCAUGGAGACACAACACAGCCAGAACAGAGCACCACCUGUACUGGCAUUUUGGGCAGCUGGUUACCAGGACAAAUGUUUGACUGCAUCCGUGUUGAAGACUGCGGGAUAUCUUCAAUGCAGCACUGUCCGCUGGUUACUUCCCCAACGGGUUCAAGCAGGCCGAGACAAGGAUGAUUCCGAAGGCCGGUAAGCCUCCCACAAGACCGGAGAACUACCCCUCUGGGCCUGUUACCUGCUAUUGCCCGGUCACCACUCUCGGCGUCUACCCAGCUCUCCUAUUCAUUCGGAGGACGGUCUGGUCCUCUGGUGAUCCUGUGCCUGCCUGCUGUGAAGGAAGGAGUCAGUUGCUGAUGUAUUGUUACUACUAAGUAAACGUAUGAAGCUG